Long non-coding RNA from Apis laboriosa (Himalayan honeybee), 1500 nucleotides. RefSeq lists it as uncharacterized. The transcript has 6 exons. The record is from RefSeq and is a predicted model, not a curated record. NCBI's taxonomy places the organism in Eukaryota, Metazoa, Arthropoda, Insecta, Hymenoptera, Apidae.
UUUGACAUCCAGCUGUAAUGUCAAGAUCUUCUUAUCUGCUAGGGAUAAUAGUAAGUUUCCUUAAUGAGAGUUAUUAGCAGAUAAUAUGAGGAUUCGAGUGUUUCUUUUAUGAAUAAAAUUCUUGAUGCUAUUGAGAAACUCUUAUAAUCUAAAGAAUGAUUUCAUUGAAAUCACAUAUAAUAAAUGAUAUACAUAUAAUGAUAUUUUUCUUAAAUUAAAAAAUUUUUCAAUGAAAGAAACACUCGAUUGCGAUAAAAAUGAGUUAAAGAAUCAUGAUGAGCUUUCACGACAUCUGGCCAUAGCGCAAUAAAUAAGCUGCAUGAAAAUAAUAUUAUGUAAAAUCCGAGCAAAAAUUUCAACCACAUAGAAAAACUUUUGUCGAGAACCUCGAGGAUACCUACUUACCUACGCUACCGAGGAAUUGGACACCGACUUGGCCGAUUAGUCACGAUCGAUCGUUCUCAAAUUGUCGCUUCUUUUUUUGAUUCGUAGCGUGAAUUUAUCGCGUGAUAUUAUAACAUGAUAGCAAGUAUUUAUUUAUAAUUUAUUUACACAUUGUCAAUUCUGAUAUAUCAGAAAUCUGACAUAGUCAAAGUAACUAAAUAUCUUUUUUUCGUAUACCGAUUCAUUCAAGAAUGAUCGAAGAUAAGAUUGUGGAAGCGUAAGAAUCAUUGGAAGCGUGGAAGCGGCGUAAAUCAUUAGCAACAAUAUAGCGAUCGAUCAAGAGAGCUGACGUACACGAAAAGAAGCCAGCGGCAAGUUGCAAUAGGGCCAAUUUCUCUUUAUCAAUGAUCGCCCUGUGGUUUUCUCCGUGGUCAUAGAAUAUGUUAGGUAUACACGAUUUUACCAUGCGACGGUACUGGUUCAUUGUGGUGGCGGUGGCGGCGGUGGCAGCGGGCAGCUCUCGUGCCACUGACCCACAAACAUACUUACCUAUGUUAUACUAUGCUGCUAUAUACAUCGUUCUGCCGUUGUCGCUAUGCUUUAAUGCCCGUACACACCGCGUUUCCGCCUCUCGUACACACGCUUGUGUACGUCGUCCUUGGAAGAUUUACUUGCGGACCUGAUUGCAAUCCUGAUGCUGGUUCGUGAAUUUUUCAUUCGAGCCUGCACCACCGUGAACCGAAAGUAACUGCGCCUCGAGCAACGAGGGCGAUAAUUUUACGGACAAAACUGGAAGAGCAAGGCUGAAAUCCUGCACGGAGAGGCGGAGAGCGGUGCACGAAAAAGAGGUAGUCGAUACGCUCGACUUUUUGCCAUCAUCGUCGUGAAUACAAGACGGCGAGAAUCGUCACGAUGGAUAGCGGCUUGAAGCAACGGGAUGGAAGGAGAAAAUGAACAACCGGCUACGUUAAAAUCACCAGUAUUGACUUUGUGCCCCAAUCGACCUGGCUACCUAACCUUUUGAAAGCGUUUGAUAGAUCACGGGACCGAGUAUAAUCGCACAUGAUAUUGCAUUGAGAAGAGGAGAAAAGACAUAUUGUUGCGUUAUUAUUAAAU